RNAcentral lists this ribosomal RNA (492 nucleotides) under uncultured bacterium. Its description in RNAcentral is "partial 16S ribosomal RNA". It matches the Rfam family "Bacterial small subunit ribosomal RNA", at positions 29 to 507 of the family's 1533-position model. The record is from RNAcentral.
AGUGAACGCUGGCGGUAGGCCUAACACAUGCAAGUCGAACGGCAGCACAGUAAGAGCUUGCUCUUACGGGUGGCGAGUGGCGGACGGGUGAGGAAUACAUCGGAAUCUACUUUUUCGUGGGGGAUAACGUAGGGAAACUUACGCUAAUACCGCAUACGACCUACGGGUGAAAGCAGGGGAUCUUCGGACCUUGCGCGAUUGAAUGAGCCGAUGUCGGAUUAGCUAGUUGGCGGGGUAAAGGCCCACCAAGGCGACGAUCCGUAGCUGGUCUGAGAGGAUGAUCAGCCACACUGGAACUGAGACACGGUCCAGACUACUAAGGGAGGCAGCAGUGGGGAAUAUUGGACAAUGGGCGCAAGCCUGAUCCAGCCAUACCGCGUGGGUGGAGAAGGCCUUCGGGUUGUAAAGACCUUUUGUUGGGAAAGAAAAGCAGCAGGUUAAUACCCCGCUGUUCUGACGGUACCCAAAGAAUAAGCACCGGCUAACUUCGUG